This 271-nucleotide ribosomal RNA is filed under the name Paenibacillus sp. UNCCL117. Its description in RNAcentral is "23S rRNA. Bacterial LSU". It matches the Rfam family "Bacterial large subunit ribosomal RNA", at positions 2646 to 2925 of the family's 2925-position model. The record is from RNAcentral. Lineage: Bacteria; Bacillati; Bacillota; Bacilli; Caryophanales; Paenibacillaceae.
CGCGGGCGCAGGAAAUUUGAGAGGAGCUGUCCUUAGUACGAGAGGACCGGGAUGGACGUACCGCUGGUGUACCAGUUGUCUCGCCAGAGGCACGGCUGGAUAGCCAAGUACGGCAGGGAUAAGCGCUGAAAGCAUCUAAGCGUGAAGCCCCCCUCAAGAUGAGAUUUCCCAGUAUGUAAGACCCCUUGUAGACGACGAGGUAGAUAGGUUCGGGGUGGAAGCGCGGCAACGUGUGGAGCUGACGAAUACUAAUCGGUCGAGGGCUUAUCCU